UACGUAGGUGACAAGCGUUGUCCGGAUUUACUGGGCGUAAAGAGCGCGCAGGCGGUCGAUCAAGUCGAGUGUGAAAGCCCCCGGCUCAACUGGGGAGGGUCAUUCGAUACUGAUCGACUCGAAGGCAGGAGAGGGUAGUGGAAUUCCCGGUGUAGUGGUGAAAUGCGUAGAUAUCGAGAGGAACACCAGUGGCGAAGGCGAGUCCCUGGACAACACCUGACACUGAGGCACGAAAGCUAGGGGAGCAAACAGG
This 253-nucleotide ribosomal RNA is filed under the name uncultured bacterium. RNAcentral's name for it is "partial 16S ribosomal RNA". It matches the Rfam family "Bacterial small subunit ribosomal RNA", at positions 524 to 776 of the family's 1533-position model. The record is from RNAcentral.